Molecule: unclassified non-coding RNA, 455 nt
Filed under: Hevea brasiliensis (rubber tree)
Lineage: Eukaryota; Viridiplantae; Streptophyta; Magnoliopsida; Malpighiales; Euphorbiaceae
Source: RNAcentral
GAAAAAGAUAAUGAGAAAUAGAUCAGGACAUAAAGAUGGAUUUCAAAUCAGGUCCUUGCAGCUCAAUCAUGGUCAAGGGAAUGAACUACAGAGAUAGUGCAAGAACAAAACUAAGAAGAAUAUUUCUGGCUUUCCAAUAAGUCUGCUGGUGACAACAAAUCAAACAGAAAAUCAUAUGGAAAUUAACCCAAAUUAUGUUUUUACCUGGUCAGAACCACUACCUAGAGUCUAAACAUUACAAGUGAAUUGUCUUCUCUUCCAAAUACUUAAAACCUGAGUGUUAGACCAUAGCACAACAAACUACCAAAGAAAUGAAAAAUAAUCAUCUACCAAGGACUUCUAAACUUAUUAGAUCCUUUGACUUUGGAUUUGAGUCCUAUUCAAUGUGUUUUAUCAAAAUUAAGCUUGUCCACCAACCAAGAAUUAAUCAGCUCACAUUUAUUUUUGUGAGAGUA